CCUGCCUCCCAUCAGACUUCAACAUCUCAAGCCUCUCUGGUCUGCUGUCCCCGGCGCUAACGGAGAGCCUGCUGGUUGCCUUGCCCCCCUGUCACCUCACAGGAGGCAAUGCCACACUGAUGGUCCGGAGAGCCAAUGACAGCAAAGGGUGACGUCCAGCUUUGUGGUGCCUCCGUGCCGUGGGCGCAGGGAACUGGUGAGUGUGGUGGACAGUGGUGCUGGCUUCACAGUCACUCGGCUCAGUGCAUACCAGGUGACAAACCUCG
RNAcentral lists this long non-coding RNA (266 nucleotides) under Homo sapiens (human). Its description in RNAcentral is "long non-coding RNA NONHSAT024529.2". The record is from RNAcentral. Lineage: Eukaryota; Metazoa; Chordata; Mammalia; Primates; Hominidae.